This 75-nucleotide transfer RNA is filed under the name Planctomycetes bacterium RBG_16_64_12. RNAcentral's name for it is "tRNA-Pro". It matches the Rfam family "tRNA". Rfam says of the family: Transfer RNA (tRNA) molecules are approximately 80 nucleotides in length. Their secondary structure includes four short double-helical elements and three loops (D, anti-codon, and T loops). Further hydrogen bonds mediate the characteristic L-shaped molecular structure. tRNAs have two regions of fundamental functional importance: the anti-codon, which is responsible for specific mRNA codon recognition, and the 3' end, to which the tRNAs corresponding amino acid is attached (by aminoacyl-tRNA synthetases). tRNAs cope with the degeneracy of the genetic code in two manners: having more than one tRNA (with a specific anti-codon) for a particular amino acid; and 'wobble' base-pairing, i.e. permitting non-standard base-pairing at the 3rd anti-codon position. The record is from RNAcentral. Lineage: Bacteria; Pseudomonadati; Planctomycetota.
CGGGGCGUGGCGCAGCCUGGAUAGCGCGCCUGCUUUGGGAGCAGGAAGUCGCCAGUUCAAAUCUGGCCGCCCCGA